Molecule: ribosomal RNA, 254 nt
Filed under: uncultured bacterium
Lineage: Bacteria
Description: partial 16S ribosomal RNA
Rfam family: Bacterial small subunit ribosomal RNA
Source: RNAcentral
UACGUAGGGUGCAAGCGUUUAAUCGGAAUUACUGGGCGUAAAGCGUGCGCAGGCGGUUGUGCAAGACAGAUGUGAAAUCCCCGGGCUCAACCUGGGAACUGCAUUUGUGACUGCACGGCUGGAGUGCGGCAGAGGGGGAUGGAAUUCCGCGUGUAGCAGUGAAAUGCGUAGAUAUGCGGAGGAACACCGAUGGCGAAGGCAGCCCCCUGGGCUGACACUGACGCUCAGGCAUGAAAGCGUGGGGAGCAAACAGG